Molecule: ribosomal RNA, 749 nt
Filed under: uncultured Vagococcus sp.
Lineage: Bacteria; Bacillati; Bacillota; Bacilli; Lactobacillales; Enterococcaceae
Description: bacterial SSU rRNA
Rfam family: Bacterial small subunit ribosomal RNA
Source: RNAcentral
GAGGCUCGAAAGCGUGAGGAGCAAACAGGAUUAGAUACCUGGUAGUCACGCGUAAACGAUGAGUGCUAAGUGUUAGGGGGUUCCGCCCUUUAGUGCUGCAGCUAACGCAUUAAGCACUCCGCUGGGGAGUACGACCGCAAGGUUGAAACUCAAAGGAAUUGACGGGGGCCCGCACAAGCGGUGGAGCAUGUGGUUUAAUUCGAAGCAACGCGAAGAACCUUACCAGGUCUUGACAUCCUUUGACAACUCUAGAGAUAGAGCUUUCCCUUCGGGGACAAAGUGACAGGUGGUGCAUGGUUGUCGUCAGCUCGUGUCGUGAGAUGUUGGGUUAAGUCCCGCAACGAGCGCAACCCUUAUUGUUAGUUGCCAUCAUUCAGUUGGGCACUCUAGCGAAACUGCCGGUGACAAACCGGAGGAAGGUGGGGAUGACGUCAAAUCAUCAUGCCCCUUAUGACCUGGGCUACACACGUGCUACAAUGGACAGUACAAUGAGCAGCGACACGGCGACGUGAAGCGAAUCUCAUAAAGCUGUUCUCAGUUCGGAUUGUAGGCUGCAACUCGCCUACAUGAAGCCGGAAUCGCUAGUAAUCGCGGAUCAGCACGCCGCGGUGAAUACGUUCCCGGGCCUUGUACACACCGCCCGUCACACCACGAAAGUUUGUAACACCCAAAGUCGGUGAGGUAACCUUCGGGAGCCAGCCGCCUAAGGUGGGAUAGAUGAUUGGGGUGAAGUCGUAACAAGGUAACCA